UAGGGCUAAUACAUGCGUCAUACCUGACUUCUGGGAAAGGUUGCUAUCAUGAGUCAUAGAAUCGGCGCAGGCUCUGCCUUGCUACCAAGGUGAGUCAUGAUAAUUUAGCUGAUCGCAUUGCAUCAGCUGGUGAUGAACUGCACAAGUUUCUGACCUAUCAGCUUCCGACGCUAGGGUAUUGGCCUACUGUGGCAAUGACGGGUGACGGAGAAUUAGGGUUCGAUUCCGGAGAGGGAGCCUGACACAUGGCUACCACAUCUAAGGAAGGCAGCAGGCGCGCAAAUUACCCAAUCCUGACAUGGGGAGGUAGUGACAAGCAAUAACAAUACGGGGCAUCCAUGUCUUGUAAUUGGAAUGAGCUAACUGUAAACAUGUUGGUGAGUAUCAAUUGGAGGGCAAGUCUGGUGCCAGCAGCCGCGGUAAUUCCAGCUCCAAUAGCGUAUAUUAAAGCUGUUGCGGUUAAAAAGCUCGUAGUUGGAUUUCUGUCAAGUACAACUGGUCCGCCCUCUGGGUGAGCACAUAGUUUGGUCUUGGCAUCUUGCUGGAAACUGUUGCUGCACUUGGCUGUGUGGCGCAGUGUCCAGCACUUUCACUUUGAGGAAAUUGGAGUGUUUCAAGCAGGCAAUGCCUUUGAACACAGUAGCAUGGAAUAAUUAGAUUGGGCUUUUGCUCCAAU
Molecule: ribosomal RNA, 676 nt
Filed under: Amphidinium carterae
Lineage: Eukaryota; Dinophyceae; Amphidiniales; Amphidiniaceae
Description: SSU rRNA
Rfam family: Eukaryotic small subunit ribosomal RNA
Source: RNAcentral